RNAcentral lists this ribosomal RNA (510 nucleotides) under uncultured bacterium. RNAcentral describes it as "bacterial SSU rRNA". It matches the Rfam family "Bacterial small subunit ribosomal RNA", at positions 36 to 518 of the family's 1533-position model. The record is from RNAcentral.
CUGGCGGCGUGCCUAAUACAUGCAAGUCGAACGGUCUUUCUAUGGAAGCUUGCUCCACUGAGAAGAUAGUGGCGAACGGGUGAGUAACAACGUGGGUAACCUGCCCAUAAGAGGGGGGAUAACAUCCGGAAACGGGUGCUAAUACCGCAUAGUUUUCUUGGUCGCAUGAUCGGGAAAGGAAAGACGGCCUUUGUGCUGUCGCUUAUGGAUGGACCCGCGGCGUAUUAGUUAGUUGGUGAGGUAACGGCUCACCAAGACGAUGAUACGUAGCCGACCUGAGAGGGUGAUCGGCCACAUUGGGACUGAGACACGGCCCAAACUCCUACGGGAGGCAGCAGUAGGGAAUCUUCCGCAAUGGACGAAAGUCUGACGGAGCAACGCCGCGUGAGUGAAAGAAGGUUUUCGGAUCGUAAAACUCUGUUGUCAGAGAAGAACAAGUUGGAGAGUAACUGCUCCAGCCUUGACGGUAUCUGACCAGAAAGCCACGGCUAACUACGUGCCAGCCGCCGC